Molecule: non-coding RNA, 96 nt
Organism: Triticum aestivum (bread wheat)
Lineage: Eukaryota; Viridiplantae; Streptophyta; Magnoliopsida; Poales; Poaceae
Source: Rfam
GGAGCAUCCGUGAUGUUACAUCCACUUAACUCAUCCUUGCACUUUGAGUCUCGGCAGUGAAGAAAAACAUUGGGGAAUUUGUAGUCUGAGAUGCUC